This 405-nucleotide ribosomal RNA is filed under the name uncultured bacterium. Its description in RNAcentral is "bacterial SSU rRNA". It matches the Rfam family "Bacterial small subunit ribosomal RNA", at positions 355 to 776 of the family's 1533-position model. The record is from RNAcentral.
UGGGGAAUCUUGCCCAAUGGGCGAAAGCCUGAGGCAGCAACGCCGCGUGCGGGAUGACGGCCCUAGGGUUGUAAACCGCUUUCAGCAGGGACGAAAUUGACGGUACCUGCAGAAGAAGCUCCGGCCAACUACGUGCCAGCAGCCGCGGUAAUACGUAGGGAGCGAGCGUUGUCCGGAUUUAUUGGGCGUAAAGAGCACGUAGGCGGCCUAGUAAGUCGGGUGUGAAAACUCCAAGCUCAACUUGGAGCGGCCAUUCGAUACUGCUAUGGCUUGAGUCUGGUAGGGGAUCACGGAAUUCCUGGUGUAGCGGUGAAAUGCUUAGAUAUCAGGAGGAACACCGGUGGCGAAGGCGGUGAUCUGGGCCAGUACUGACGCUGAGGUGCGAAAGCGUGGGGAGCGAACAGG